Molecule: ribosomal RNA, 604 nt
Filed under: uncultured soil bacterium
Lineage: Bacteria
Description: bacterial SSU rRNA
Rfam family: Bacterial small subunit ribosomal RNA
Source: RNAcentral
GAGGAGCCUGCGGCAGAUUAGCUAGUUGGUGGGGUAAUGGCUCACCAAGGCGACGAUCUGUAACCGGCCUGAGAGGGCGGUCGGUCACACUGACACUGACAUACGGGUCAGACUCCUACGGGAGGCAGCAGUCGGGAAUUUUGGGCAAUGGGCGCAAGCUGACCCAGCAACGCCGCGUGAAGGAUGAAAUCCCUCGGGAUGUAAACUUCGUAAGAACAGGAAGAAUAAGUGAAGGCGAACACCCUUCAUGAUGACGGUACUGUUUGUAAACUCCGGCUAACUCCGUGCCAGCAGCCGCGGUAAUACGGGGGGAGCAAGCGUUGUUCGGAUUUACUGGGCGUAAAGGGCGCGUAGGCGGCCACGACAAGUCACUUGUGAAAUCUCCGGGCUUAACUCGGAACGGUCAAGUGAUACUGUCGGGCUCGAGUACAGAAGGGGCAACUGGAAUUCUCGGUGUAGCGGUGAAAUGCGUAGAUAUCGAGAGGAACACCUGCGGCGAAGGCGGGUUGCUGGGCUGAUACUGACGCUGAGGCGCGAAAGCUAGGGGAGCGAACGGGAUUAGAUACCCCGGUAGUCCUAGCCUUAAACGAUGAAUGCUUGGUGU